GGAGAAAUGGCAGAGUGGUCGAUUGCGGCAGUCUUGAAAACUGUUGAACCGCGAGGUUCCUGGGGUUCGAAUCCCUAUUUCUCCGCCA
Molecule: transfer RNA, 88 nt
Filed under: Bacteroidota bacterium
Lineage: Bacteria; Pseudomonadati; Bacteroidota
Description: Bacteroidetes bacterium (soil metagenome) tRNA-Ser
Rfam family: tRNA
About the family: Transfer RNA (tRNA) molecules are approximately 80 nucleotides in length. Their secondary structure includes four short double-helical elements and three loops (D, anti-codon, and T loops). Further hydrogen bonds mediate the characteristic L-shaped molecular structure. tRNAs have two regions of fundamental functional importance: the anti-codon, which is responsible for specific mRNA codon recognition, and the 3' end, to which the tRNAs corresponding amino acid is attached (by aminoacyl-tRNA synthetases). tRNAs cope with the degeneracy of the genetic code in two manners: having more than one tRNA (with a specific anti-codon) for a particular amino acid; and 'wobble' base-pairing, i.e. permitting non-standard base-pairing at the 3rd anti-codon position.
Source: RNAcentral